CUCAAAUUACCCUUCUUUCUACAUAUAAACACGGCCCGGGGUGUGCGGCUCUCCCCGGCCGCGGGGUCCCCCCCGGCACAGCCCGGCUCCCCCGCACCGCCCCCGGCCCCGGCCGGAGGAAGUUUCUGCUGCGGGACACGGCAGGAGAAAACGAGCCGGAUACGGAACCCCCCGCUCUGCGUGGCUCCCCCGGGCCAGCGCUCAGGUGGUGUUGACAGAAGAGGAUGGGUAGGAGAUUUCAAUGGCAGGCACACGUGUCCCAGGAGAGGGUGAGACAACAACAGAGACAAAGCAAGAAAUGAACCUUGGACAGCUGCAGGAGAGAAACCCAAACCUUCUUUGGAAAGUGGGGUCACCUGCAGGCUGGGGGCACCCUAUGGAAUACCCAUCCCUCCAGACAUCCUGGAAGAUCAAGCAGCCAUCAGGAUCUGGCAUGGGUCCCAUCGGCAUUGGGACAGGUUCAGGACUGAGCGAGGGGCUGGGGGAGACCCCUCCUGAACAUCAGCUGCUCUGGUAGGGCUGUGCCAGAUCUCCACUGCAGCCAAAAAUGAUCUGGGGAAGAACAGACACCAAACUCCUCUGCAGCGGGGUGGGGCUGCAGGUGCAUGCCAGGCUCGGUGUGGGGACGCUCCCAGCUCCAUUGGCCCUCGCUGUGGUACCCACAAUUCCCAUGCAGGCUGCCAAGCCGAGCCCAGCAGAGACAUGAGCAGCCAGAAAGGGAAGGAAGGAAAGCGGGGGCAGCCGAAGUGACAGGGACCACAGCCUGGGCAUCCCUGUGCUGUUCGUGUGCCAGCGACUGGGAGCAGUGACGUGGUGCAUCCUCUUAUGACACGGACAUGCAAGGCAGGGUGCUCCUGGAGCAGAGCAGAGCAAUGGGGAGAGGGUGGGAGGUGCCACUCAGGACCCAUCACGCUGCUGGGAUGUGCCCACGGAUCGAUGGGGAAAUAUGAAAGGGACAACAAGGAACCAAGGGAAUACCUAAAGUAAAGGGCUGAAGACUGAACAUACGAAACAAAGGUGGUUCGGGCUCAGAUGGGAGAGAAAAUCCAUGUCUGGAGCAUGUCCUUCAGUGGAAGAUGAUUUCAGAGGGGUCAUGAAGGUUCGAACUGGCUGAGGGUUUGCCUGGGAAAGGUUGGGCUGAGGUUUCUAGUGUGAUUGCAAACAAGCCAGCUCUGCUGGGGAUGGCUGUGAUGUUUAUUCAUGGCAGGGAAGGAAGGGAGCAGCUGACUUUUAGAUCCCCAAAAGCGUAAAGAGGGGGAAUGGGCCCUUUCCCAUGACCAUGGACAAUGAUCGUACCCCUUCACCUCAGGGCUUUUCAGACGUCAGCCACGUCCCAAAAAUUAAAUGAUGAAGAAAGAGGGAAUAAACCCCAAUGCAAGCAAGGCAGCACAACCUCCUCCUCUGCCUUAGGGCUGUCCUUACUAAAGGUUCAACUGACCCUGGUUUUGGGACCUGAAAGGUGAACCCCAAACGCAGAACAAAUACCCCUUUUUGGGCAUCUCUCAUUUCACCCUUAGACCAGAGAUCCCCCCAUUUCCACAGCUGGGUGCAGCCUCCUGGUCCAACCAUCACAGCCUUUUGUCCCAUGCAAGAGCUUCCUUUGGGAAGGCAAAUUCAUUCCCAUAUGCACCUUCCUUGGUUUUCUUUGGGUCUGUGUCCCCCCCUUCCAGCAUCCCUUUACCCUAUUAAUAUCUUUUGACUGUCCUCACACCUGCAGACAAUCUGGUCCCAAACCACCUCCACCUCCCCCCUUCCUCAAAAGCUUCCCUCAGCUGUCUUUAAGUCGUAGCUGAAAUCUGCGGUAUGUAGGAGGAGAAAUUCAGUCUGACAGCAGUUUAAAACACCGCACUACUUGGCAGAUUUAAAUGCUAUUUUAAAUAUAAGCUAUGACACAACGGACAAAAAUAGCAUUGAAAAUACCCUGUCAUGUUCCAUAUUGCGAGGAAUAGGGAAGCAGACCAGGCUAGAAAGGAGCAGAGAGAGGGGCCAGAUGGAGAGGAGAGGUUAUUUUGUUUGUUUUAAAGAAACUGGAUAAAUGUAUUUUGUAUGUGACUGAGUAAAUGUGUUUUGUGGAGCAACGAGCCAAAAAUAAAUAAAUAAAUAAACCUU
Molecule: long non-coding RNA, 2109 nt
Organism: Corvus hawaiiensis (hawaiian crow)
Lineage: Eukaryota; Metazoa; Chordata; Aves; Passeriformes; Corvidae
Exons: 2
Source: RefSeq, a predicted model, not a curated record